RNAcentral lists this ribosomal RNA (265 nucleotides) under uncultured bacterium. RNAcentral describes it as "partial 16S ribosomal RNA". It matches the Rfam family "Bacterial small subunit ribosomal RNA", at positions 793 to 1055 of the family's 1533-position model. The record is from RNAcentral.
GUCCACGCCGUAAACUAUGGUCGCUAGCCGUCGGAUAGCAUGCUAUUCGGUGGCGCAGCUAACGCAUUAAGCGACCCGCCUGGGGAGUACGGCCGCAAGGUUAAAACUCAAAGGAAUUGACGGGGGCCCCGCACAAGCGGUGGAGCAUGUGGUUUAAUUCGACGCAACGCGAAGAACCUUACCUACCCUUGACAUGUCCGGACGACUUCCAGAGAUGGAUUUCUCCCAGCAAUGGGCCGGAACACAGGUGCUGCAUGGCUGUCGU